This 111-nucleotide ribosomal RNA is filed under the name Kocuria sp. WN036. RNAcentral describes it as "partial 16S ribosomal RNA". It matches the Rfam family "Bacterial small subunit ribosomal RNA", at positions 1 to 109 of the family's 1533-position model. The record is from RNAcentral. Lineage: Bacteria; Bacillati; Actinomycetota; Actinomycetes; Micrococcales; Micrococcaceae.
UUUGACGGAGAGUUUGAUCCUGGCUCAGGACGAACGCUGGCGGCGUGCUUAACACAUGCAAGUCGAACGAUGAUGCCCAGCUUGCUGGGCGGAUUAGUGGCGAACGGGUGA